GUGCUCACUUUGGCAGCACAUAUACUAAAAUCAGAACAAUACCGAGAAGGUUAUCAUAGCCUCUGCACAAGGAUGACACACAAAUUUGUGAAUUAUGUCAUAUUUUU
Small nuclear RNA from Cercocebus atys (sooty mangabey), 107 nucleotides. Lineage: Eukaryota; Metazoa; Chordata; Mammalia; Primates; Cercopithecidae. The record is from Ensembl.